Molecule: ribosomal RNA, 662 nt
Filed under: Levilactobacillus brevis
Lineage: Bacteria; Bacillati; Bacillota; Bacilli; Lactobacillales; Lactobacillaceae
Description: bacterial SSU rRNA
Rfam family: Bacterial small subunit ribosomal RNA
Source: RNAcentral
UGCAAGUCGAACGAGCUUCCGUUGAAUGACGUGCUUGCACUGAUUUCAACAAUGAAGCGAGUGGCGAACUGGUGAGUAACACGUGGGAAAUCUGCCCAGAAGCAGGGGAUAACACUUGGAAACAGGUGCUAAUACCGUAUAACAACAAAAUCCGCAUGGAUUUUGUUUGAAAGGUGGCUUCGGCUAUCACUUCUGGAUGAUCCCGCGGCGUAUUAGUUAGUUGGUGAGGUAAAGGCCCACCAAGACGAUGAUACGUAGCCGACCUGAGAGGGUAAUCGGCCACAUUGGGACUGAGACACGGCCCAAACUCCUACGGGAGGCAGCAGUAGGGAAUCUUCCACAAUGGACGAAAGUCUGAUGGAGCAAUGCCGCGUGAGUGAAGAAGGGUUUCGGCUCGUAAAACUCUGUUGUUAAAGAAGAACACCUUUGAGAGUAACUGUUCAAGGGUUGACGGUAUUUAACCAGAAAGCCACGGCUAACUACGUGCCAGCAGCCGCGGUAAUACGUAGGUGGCAAGCGUUGUCCGGAUUUAUUGGGCGUAAAGCGAGCGCAGGCGGUUUUUUAAGUCUGAUGUGAAAGCCUUCGGCUUAACCGGAGAAGUGCAUCGGAAACUGGGAGACUUGAGUGCAGAAGAGGACAGUGGAACUCCAUGUGUAGCGGUG